CCUACGGGUGGCUGCAGUGAGGAAUAUUGGUCAAUGGGCGUAAGCCUGAACCAGCCAAGUCGCGUGAGGGAUGAAGGUUCUAUGGAUCGUAAACCUCUUUUAUAAGGGAAUAAAGUGUGGGUCGUGUCCUAUUUUGUAUGUACCUUAUGAAUAAGGAUCGGCUAACUCCGUGCCAUCAGCCGCGGUAAUACGGAGGAUCCGAUCGUUAUCCGGAUUUAUUUGGUUUAAAGGGUGCGUAGGCGGCCUUUUAAGUCAGCGGGGAAAGUCUGUGGCUCAACCAUAGAAUUGCCGUUGAAACUGGGGAGCUGGAGUAUGUUUGAGGCAGGCGGAAGUCGUGGUGUAGCGGUGAAAUGCUUAGAUA
This 361-nucleotide ribosomal RNA is filed under the name uncultured bacterium. RNAcentral's name for it is "partial 16S ribosomal RNA". It matches the Rfam family "Bacterial small subunit ribosomal RNA", at positions 338 to 696 of the family's 1533-position model. The record is from RNAcentral.